Long non-coding RNA from Populus nigra (black poplar), 479 nucleotides. RefSeq lists it as uncharacterized. Lineage: Eukaryota; Viridiplantae; Streptophyta; Magnoliopsida; Malpighiales; Salicaceae. The transcript has 3 exons. The record is from RefSeq and is a predicted model, not a curated record.
CGCGUGAAACCGCAUUCCCAAAUUCCCAAACGUUUUUGUCCACCAACCCAUCUAAUAUUCUAUAAUAUCUUGACUUGUCUCUCUUCUCUUCAUUAUCUGCUCUCAUUUCUUCGUGCUUCUCAACUCGCUUAUUCCACGAUGUGUCAGAAUGAAGCUACAGCGGAAUAUCCUUAUCCCAGUGAAUGGAACCCCCAACCAGCUGGCUGUAUUCAAUCCAUGGAUGAUCAUCAAUCCACCCAGCAAAAUCCUAUUCCUGUGAAGACUAAAUCCACGGGAUGGGGUGGCUGUUUGGGUGCUUGCUUUUGAGGAACGAUGCUUUAUUUGUGCUAUGUGCUUUUCUGAAUUUUUAUAUGGUAAUGGAAUGGGAUCGUGUAGUUUGAUUUUAUUAUCCAUUUUGGCUCAAUAAAUUGUUUGUUUACACAAUGAUUCACUUCGCUUGUUGGUAGCAAUAAUGCUGAAUAUAAUUUAUUUGUGGAUUA